AUUCAACUGACGAAUCCGAAAUAGGACGAAACGCGAGGCCUGGAU
RNAcentral lists this non-coding RNA (45 nucleotides) under Schistosoma mansoni. The record is from RNAcentral. Lineage: Eukaryota; Metazoa; Platyhelminthes; Trematoda; Strigeidida; Schistosomatidae.